Molecule: transfer RNA, 89 nt
Filed under: Acetilactobacillus jinshanensis
Lineage: Bacteria; Bacillati; Bacillota; Bacilli; Lactobacillales; Lactobacillaceae
Also listed under: 1 other name
Rfam family: tRNA
About the family: Transfer RNA (tRNA) molecules are approximately 80 nucleotides in length.
Source: Rfam by way of RNAcentral
GGUGGAUUACUCAAGUGGCUGAAGAGGACGGUUCUGAAAACCGUUAGGCGGACUGUAUCCGCGCGGGGGUUCGAAUCCCCCAUCCACCU